Molecule: ribosomal RNA, 292 nt
Filed under: uncultured bacterium
Lineage: Bacteria
Description: partial 16S ribosomal RNA
Rfam family: Bacterial small subunit ribosomal RNA
Source: RNAcentral
GUGCCAGCAGCCGCGGUAAUACAGAGGGUGCGAGCGUUAAUCGGAAUUACUGGGCGUAAAGCGCGCGUAGGCGGCUUUUCAAGUCGAUUGUGAAAUCCCCGGGCUUAACCUGGGAACUGCAGUCGAGACUGUCUAGCUAGAGUAUGGGAGAGGGAAGUGGAAUUUCAGGUGUAGCGGUGAAAUGCGUAGAUAUCUGAAGGAACAUCAGUGGCGAAAGCGACUUCCUGGACCAAUACUGACGCUCAUGUGCGAAAGCGUGGGGAGCAAACAGGAUUAGAUACCCUGGUAGUCC